GACGAACGCUGGCGGCGUGCUUAACACAUGCAAGUCGAACGGAAAGGCCCUUCCUUUGUUGGGUGCUCGGGUGGCGAACGGAUGGGGAACGCGUGAGUAACCUGCCCUUGACUUUGGUAUUACAUAACGAAACUGGGGCUUAUACCGUAUAGGAUAUCCUGCUUCAUUGUCGUGAUGGGACAGGGUCGGCGGUUGGGGAUGGACUCGCGGGUUUUCAGCUUGUUGGUGGGGUAGUGGCGUACCACGGCUUUGACGGGUGGCCGGCCUGAGAGGGUGACCGGCCACAUUGGGACUGAGAUGCGGCCCAGAAUCCUACGGGAGGCAGCAGUGGGGAAUAUUGCACAAUGGGGGGAAGGCUGAUGCAGCAACGCCGCGUGCGGGGUGACGGUCUUCGGGUUGUAAACCGCUUCCGCCUGUGACGAAGGGUGAGUGACGGUAAUGGGUAAAGAAGCACCGGCUAACUACGUG
Molecule: ribosomal RNA, 468 nt
Filed under: uncultured bacterium
Lineage: Bacteria
Description: partial 16S ribosomal RNA
Rfam family: Bacterial small subunit ribosomal RNA
Source: RNAcentral